Molecule: unclassified non-coding RNA, 2148 nt
Filed under: Pomacea canaliculata
Lineage: Eukaryota; Metazoa; Mollusca; Gastropoda; Architaenioglossa; Ampullariidae
Description: uncharacterized LOC112557562, transcript variant X1
Source: RNAcentral
AGAAGGGUGCACAGGAGGACGGUGUGUAAUCACCAUACGCACUCGCUAUACCGCCAUGCCUCGUGCUCCAUGUCACGCUCUCAGGAGUGCAAAGGUUAUUGUUGGCUAACAAUAGAACACACGAGGCCUGAAGACGACAUGAUCAAGGUGUGACCGCUCACUUCAUCGAAGAUCGUCAGGCUGUUCACAUCUCCCCCUGUAGCCAGCAUGUCGCCGACCUGUGGGGUGUGUUGUGUGUUCGUCUGCUUCACGGUCCUGUGCUUUCUACCGUCAGCAGAGGCACAAAACAAAUGUGUCGCUUGCAGCUACAACAACGCCGGUGACGGCACGACGGACUACGCAUGCGUGAACGAUCCUCUAAGUCACACGCAUAGUUCGAACAUCACCUGCGACUUCACCACUUACAGCUGUGUCAUCAAAGCCGUCUAUCGAUAUGAAGGUUAUGUAGAACUUCAGUCUGUCACGAGAGGUUGUCUGCCAACAUCAGCCACAUCGUCGGAAGUCUGUGGUGACACCGACAGACGGACAUGUUUGCUGCAAUGCAAGACCAACAUGUGUAAUGUCGAGUCCAACGCCGACCUCGCCAAGAUAUACAUCAGCUCCAGCGGUAACCUGUCUAACUCUGUGCCAGCCACCAUAGUUUUACAGCUCGUCACGUGCCUGAGUAUCCUCUCAAUCACUUUGAUAUGACAGAAACAACAUCCUUAAAAGUGAACAUGCAUACGGACAUGCAGACUGCUGAUAAAGGCACAGUAUGCAGUCGAAAAGAACGGGAUUUACCAGUAUUCACACACACACACCCGAAAGUGAACAAGCCACAACAGUAUAAAGUUUACCUAGUAUUAAAUUAAUCAUUGUAAUUAUGUUAGAAUCUUAGAAUCAUUGAAUGAUUAAUGUAUUGAACUCUGACUGUUUAUUAAACACUUGGGAAAGAAUGGUAUUACACUGUAUUGUCAACUGUGUGAAUUUGCUUUUGAAAAAGUGAUGGACAGCCCCCGGAUGAGAACCAUUUAGAUGGUUUAGAUAGCUGUCAUGCUGUUAAGGCUCUUUGGUUUGUAUGACUAAGAGCAACUCAAGCAUAAGAUAGCCAAACAGAUCCUGUUAACAAAACUUUACAGUCACUGAGCCAAGAGACGAUCAUGUUUAAAUGUUGUCUCGGUCAAAUCACCUGUUGUUGUUACAUAUUGUACACGCUGAACAUUUACAUUUAUUUUUGCAUUAUGUCUGAGCAAAACAUGACGAGAGAGAAAUAAAUGACAUGCGAUGAUUUCUGGAGUUAAUGAGAGAAAAAAAAGUCAAUGACUUCAGCGAGAAAGACAGUUGUGUCGGUUUCUUGUGAUGAUCAAUGCUUAUCUCACUUCCUUCGACAUGUUGUAAGUGACUCACUCACAUCUCACUGUUUAGUGUCUCAUAGUUUACACAAUCUUCGAAAUGCAUAAAAUAACACAUACCAUAAUUUCACGAUUCGGUUGUUUUGCUGUUGUUAUUUGUCGUGUUUGUGAAGGAAAGGAUUUUAAAUAUAAAUCUGUUCAACUCUGCAGAUAAUGUUUGAAGGAAGACUAAGAACUAAGUCCUUUGAGGCCGUUGUUAUGAAGCAAGAGUUAAUCAGUUCCCCAGGGUAAAAUGAGGAACUCAAGGAGACACGUCUUGUUUCCGAAGUUAUAAAGCGGUGUCCAGUCCUAGAGGACACUAUUUCAUUCUCUUUACAUCAGAGCUCCAUGGCCUCCUCUUAAUAACUACGGAUUUAGGGUAAAACAACAUCUACGGGGUUUGGACACCACUUCAUUAACUUCGGAAACAAGACAUUUAUCCUUCUAUUAAAGAGACUCUCUUUGCUUCAAAUCUCGGUUUUGUCCGAGGGCAACGACUUACCGUGGCUUUAUAACUUCUGCUCAAGGAACUGAAUCGUAUUUUACUGUUGUUAGUGGUCAGCUUCUGUUAUGUAAAGGGAGUGAACUCAUGGCCUCGCCAGACCUGAGUAGACCUGCUGGUAAGUUGUUCCCCUUUGAAGACAUGAAGUUAGCAGUCGAGUACACGAUAUAUGGCGAUCUCUUUAUCCCAUUAACUCACUACAGGCACAUUAGUUAUGCGUCUUAGUUUACAUAUAAUGUAAAUAUAAUAUUACGGCAGUAAAAUCUUUCAAAAAAC